AUACGGAGGAUGCAAGCGUUAUCCGGAUUUAUUGGGUUUAAAGGGUGCGUAGGCUGUUCGACAAGUCAGGGGUGAAAGCCCAGUGCCUAACACUGGAACUGCCUUUGAUACUGCCGAGCUGGAAUACGGAUGCCGUGGGAGGAAUGAGUAGUGUAGCGGUGAAAUGCAUAGAUAUUACUCAGAACACCGAUUGCGAAGGCAUCUCACGAAUCCGUCAUUGACGCUGAGGCACGAAAGCGUGGGGAUCAAACAGGAUUAGAUACCCUGGUAGUCCACGCAGUAAACGAUGAUAACUAACCGUCGGCGAUACACAGUCGGUGGCCAAGCGAAAGCGAUAUGUUAUCCACCUGGGGAGUACGUUCGCAAGAAUGAGACUCAAAUGAAUUGACGGGG
RNAcentral lists this ribosomal RNA (393 nucleotides) under uncultured bacterium. Its description in RNAcentral is "partial 16S ribosomal RNA". It matches the Rfam family "Bacterial small subunit ribosomal RNA", at positions 523 to 918 of the family's 1533-position model. The record is from RNAcentral.